This is an RNA transcript of Schistocerca piceifrons (Central American locust), 1578 nucleotides long. It is a transcript of the gene named hsp70-binding protein 1, with no coding region annotated. The record is from RefSeq and is a predicted model, not a curated record. The transcript is spliced from 7 exons. NCBI's taxonomy places the organism in Eukaryota, Metazoa, Arthropoda, Insecta, Orthoptera, Acrididae.
UGGCAGUACUGUGUGACAUAUUGAAAGAUUAUGUUUUGUUUAUAUCACUAGUUCCAUACAUGCUUGUAGGAAAGGUAGUGGUAGUGUAAUUUUUUUGUUUGUAAAUUUGUGGUUAGUGUUGGAACCUCCUAAAAUGUCAUCUGAUAACAGUGGUGCGGGUGAAAAUGUUGAUAGAAAUGCAGCACGCGAAUCUCUUCCACCAGCUAUAGAAUAUCCAGGACCGAAUAACAUCACAGUUUCACCAAAUCAGCCAAGACAACCAACAACAUUGCAGGACCUUCUAAGAUUUAGCGUCGAGGCGGCAGGUGGACAAAUGACGCAGAAUAAUGCUGUUGCGAUAGACGAAGAGAGACGAAAAUUUUUGGAAGCAGCUCUGAAGAGCCUGACAUUUGAUGUGAUAGAAGAGUUGUUAAAGGCAAUAAACAUCCUGAAAAAUGCUGGUACACUGGAGCUGGAGGACGAUCCCUCUGCAUGUGAAGCAGCAUUGGAUACUAUUACACAGCAUGUUGAUAACAUGGACACUGCAAAUGAUUUCCACAAAAUUGGAGGCUUUUGUAUUUUCCAUCCAUGCCUGGACUCGGCACACAGCAGCUUACGUUGGCGUGCUGCAGAAAUCAUUGCCGAACUGACGCAGAAUAACCCUUACUGCCAGCAACGCAUUCUGGAGGCUAAUUUAUUACAGCCUUUGCUGAAUCUCAUAGAUAAUGAUCCAGCCAGCCAGGUCCGCGUUAAGGCCCUCUAUGCUAUUUCUUGUCUUGUACGUGAGAAUAAAAAUGCUCUUCAAGAGUUUAUAAAACAUGCGGGAUACUCAGUCCUCCUUCGUGCUAUGCAGAGCAAUGUUGAGAAGUUGCAGGUGAAAUCUGCAUUCCUAUUGUCGAGUCUCUGUUCAAGCACAGAAAUAAAAGAUGAGCUUUGUAAGAUGGGAUUUAUAGAACAGCUCAUAGGACUGGUUGGACCAGAGGGCAGCCCAGCUGUUGAACAUCUGCUAUCAGCAGUUGUUGCACUUGUGUCAGAUCACGAAUUAUCUCAGCAAGAGUGUCGGAGGCCAGAACUGCACCUUCGCGAUAAACUGUUCCAGAUUAUGCAAAACGUGUCUGGCAAGGAGGAAUUCAGAGCCAAGAUCUACUGGGAAAAUCCAGUUGGAUAACUUCAACAGGGGUGUCUUGAGGAAAACAAUUGAAGACUUCAGCUUGGUGCAGAAGACUGCCGCAAAACUUUGACCAAAACUCAAGAAAAAGAUUGGCUGGACUUGGAUUUUGGGAAAUACGUGAGUAUGCCCAGUACUUGUUGAGGCUUGUCUUUAGUGGUGAUGAAGAAGAACGUUAGUGAAGUUUACUACUUAUAAUUUCACCGUUUGAGAACCACACUCAUGGGGGAAGGCCACAAAAAUGUGUAGAGUGUACAGGCACAACUCCUGCAAUACUCAGUUUCAGCAAAUGAAAGUUGUGUCAUUAGAUUUUAUCAUUGUUAUUAAAAUGAAGUAUUUAAUUUAAAAUGUGAAUUAUAUUUGAAAACUGUUUCAUAGAUUAAAUUAAAAAUAGUGCUUUUUGUACUAAUCCACAUAAGGAUUUUAUUGCA